AUCGGGGCAGGGUGAGUCGACCCCUAAGGCGAGGCCGAAAGGCGUAGUCGAUGGGAAACAGGUUAAUAUUCCUGUACUUGGUGUUACUGCGAAGGGGGGACGGAGAAGGCUAUGUUAGCCGGGCGACGGUUGUCCCGGUUUAAGCAUGUAGGCUGGUUAUCCAGGCAAAUCCGGAUAAUCAAGGCUGAGGUGUGAUGACGAGGCACUACGGUGCUGAAGUAACAAAUGCCCUGCUUCCAGGAAAAGCCUCUAAGCAUCAGGUAACAUCAAAUCGUACCCCAAACCGACACAGGUGGUCAGGUAGAGAAUACCAAGGCGCUUGAGAGAACUCGGGUGAAGGAACUAGGCAAAAUGGUGCCGUAACUUCGGGAGAAGGCACGCUGGUGUGUAGGUGAAGUCCCUGCGGAUGGAGCUGAGACCAGUCGAAGAUACCAGCUGGCUGCAACUGUUUAUUAAAAACACAGCACUGUGCAAACACGAAAGUGGACGUAUACGGUGUGACGCCUGCCCGGUGCCGGAAGGUUAAUUGAUGGGGUUAUCCGUAAGGAGAAGCUCUUGA
Molecule: ribosomal RNA, 559 nt
Filed under: Pseudomonas aeruginosa
Lineage: Bacteria; Pseudomonadati; Pseudomonadota; Gammaproteobacteria; Pseudomonadales; Pseudomonadaceae
Description: partial 23S ribosomal RNA
Rfam family: Bacterial large subunit ribosomal RNA
Source: RNAcentral